UGGGGGUUCGGCCGACGGCAGGCCGCCGAGCUUCGGCCUCGGUCACGCGGGUUCGAAUCCUGCACUCCCAGC
Molecule: transfer RNA, 72 nt
Filed under: Actinoplanes campanulatus
Lineage: Bacteria; Bacillati; Actinomycetota; Actinomycetes; Micromonosporales; Micromonosporaceae
Description: tRNA-Arg
Rfam family: tRNA
About the family: Transfer RNA (tRNA) molecules are approximately 80 nucleotides in length. Their secondary structure includes four short double-helical elements and three loops (D, anti-codon, and T loops).
Source: RNAcentral